Long non-coding RNA from Rosa chinensis, 732 nucleotides. RefSeq lists it as uncharacterized. The record is from RefSeq and is a predicted model, not a curated record. The transcript is spliced from 3 exons. NCBI's taxonomy places the organism in Eukaryota, Viridiplantae, Streptophyta, Magnoliopsida, Rosales, Rosaceae.
UAAGUUUUCUUUUGUUGUUCAAUAUCAAUUUUUCAUGCACACAAGGUGUUUGACAAAAUGAUUCUAAAUUGCUUUAUUCUGGUUACCAUGCAGUCUUGGAGUAUUUUUAUUCAUUACUUUUGGUUAUUUAUCUUACUAAGUCAUGAAUAACUAUUCAAUUAAAGACUUCUAAGGUUGGGUACUUUUGUGUGUUUUGAAGGACCUAUGUUGUGGUUAGAGGACCUAUUUUGUACCAGAGAUUGCAAGCAUGCUGAUAUCACUGUAGGAAAAAUUUAGAAAGUAAAGUUCCAGAUAUUGCAAAAUAUGGAUUUACAUCGGCAUGGUUGCCGCCAUCAACUCAUUCCUUUGCCCCGGAAGGUUACCUCCCUCAGAACAUAUAUUCCAUUGAAUUGGGUUUAUUUAUUUACAGCUUACUCUGUUUUGUGUUUCCAAAUAUUCAAUUAGUUAUGCAACUAAAUAUGUGAAGGAGCAAAACCAAUUUUUUUCGUUGGGGAGUAUUGGGAUUCUUGCAACUACAAUGGUCAUGGUUUGGACUACAACCAAGGUAUAAUAUGGAGAUUACGUGAUCCCCAGGGAAAGCCACCAAGUGUAAUGCAGUAGUACAGCUAGCUAGUUCCUAUAUUUAACUUGUGUCUAGUAGAAAUUCUUCCUUCAUUAAGUAUUUGGAUUUGUCUGCAGAUUCAGAUUAGUAGAUAUGGGCCAUUUUGAACUGAUGCUCAUGAUUAGGUUUGU